AGGCUGGAGUGCAGUGAUGUGAUCAUAGCUCACUAUAGCUUUGGCCUUCUGAGAUCAAGCAAUCCUCCCAUCUCAACCUCCCAAGUAGCUAGGACUACACACGCAUGUCACCCAUGCCCAGAUCAUUUUUGUAGAGUCAGAGUUUCACCGUGGUGGCCAGGUUGGCCAUGUUGGCCAGAUGGGGUCUUCUUUUGUUGCCCAGGCUGGCCACAAAUUCCUGGGCUCAAGUGAUCCUCCCACCUCGUCCUUGUAGAGAUGAGAUUUAGUUAUGUCGUCCAGGCUGAUCUCAAACUCCUGGGCUAAAUCGAUUGUCUCACCUCAGCCUCUCAAGUAUGUUAUGAAGGUUAUAUGUUAGGAAGGGUCCCAGGAGGUAAACCCACACAGAUGGGAUUUGGGCAUAGGUUUGGUUUCCCAGGGGGCAGUGCUGAGCUCUUUGCCAGUGGGAAAUGGGAUGCUGGUGAUUUCCAGUAGGUGACCUCACAGUGACUCAAGCUACCACUUACUGUUGAUUGUGACGAAAUGCCAGCUGAGGCACAUGCCUUGGGAGCUAAGUGGUUGCUGCCCUUGACCACUGUGAAGACUGGUGUGGGAAGGGUCGUUUUGGAUGCACUUGAGCAGGGGUCCCCAACCCCUGAGCCAUGGAGCCGCAAGGAGCCACACAGCAGGAGCUCCUACCUCCCGGCAGCCUCUCCAGGCCCAGAACUUUCUCCAGUCAGCCUCUACAGACCAAGCUCAUGACUCACAAUGGCCUAUUUAGGCCCAUACCCUACGUCACGGCAGCCUCCGCAGAUGAGGCUACUGCCUCACAACAGCCUCCACAGGCACAGCUCCAUCGUUACAAUGGCCUCUUUAGACCCAGCUCCUGCCUCCCAGCCUUCUCUCCAGGCCCUGAACUUUCUCAAGUCGACCUCACCAGGCCCAGCUCAUGCUUCUUUGCAGCCUCUCCAGGCCCAGCUCCUGCAUCUUGGUGGCCCCUCCAGGCCCAGCCUCUGCCUCCCGUCAGCCUCUACAGUCCCAACGUCUGCCUCACAGCAGAUUCUUCACGCCCAGCAUCUACCUCACUGUGGACCCCCCAAGCCAAGCUCCCAACCUUUCAGCAGCUUCUACACACCCAGCUCCCGCCUGCCAGUGGCCUCUUCAGGCCCAUGGGGCUCAUUCCUGACAACGGCCUUUCCAGGCCCAGUUUUUCCCUUCCGGCGGCCUCUCCGGGCCCAGAACCUCCUCAAGUCAGCCUCUCCAGACCCACUUGCACCCUCCGGGCGUUCUCUCCGGGCCCAGCUCUUCUUCCUGGUUGGGUCUCCAGGCCCGAUUCCUGCCUCUCAACAACCUCUUUGGACUCAGUGCCUACCCAUCUCCUGGCGGCCUUGGUCGGCCCACAGCUUCCUCAAGCCAAGCUCCCCAGGCCCAGGUCAGGCCUCACGGUGGCCUCUCCAGGAUGAGCUCCUGCCCUCCGAUGGCAUCUCCAGGCCCCAAAUGGUCUCCGGUCGGUGGGCUCCUCCACGCCAAGGUUGGGCCUCCCGGCGACUGCCGCAGGCCCAAGUUGUCCUGAAGUCGGGCUCUCCCAGCCCUGCCUCCCAGCAAGUAAGCAAGCUCUUUUGGCUCAACUCCUGCCCAGCUCCCAACCGCCUUUGUAGGCCCCGAACUUUCUCCAGCCAAGCUCUGAGGGCCCACCUCCUGCCUCCUGGUGGCCUGUACAGUUCUAGCACUGGUUGGAGAACAGCCUCUGCAGGCCCCGCCCUUGCCUCCCUGGAGACUCCCCUGGGAGGCAACAGCGGGGUCUGCAGACGCCCUUCUCCAGCCGGAGCUGGGACUGUUCAGUCACUGGGAGAAGGGAUGUGGGUCUGAAGAGCUUGGUUGCAGAAACUUCGGGGUCUACAAACGCAGGCGGGAGCUGAGCCAAAA
Molecule: RNA transcript, 1902 nt
Organism: Homo sapiens (human)
Lineage: Eukaryota; Metazoa; Chordata; Mammalia; Primates; Hominidae
Exons: 3
Source: RefSeq, a predicted model, not a curated record